GGAUUCUAUAACUCAGUGCUCUCAUAGUCAUAAAGGCAUUGCAGGAGCAUCAUAUAUUCCUGCUGUUCAAGCGGCAUUACCUCGUCUUUUGGGAGCUGCUGCUCCUCCAGGAGUGGGUGCCCAGGAAAACCGUCGUCAAUGUCUCAAGGUUUUGCGAUUAUGGCUUGAGAGGAAAAUAUAUCCUGAUUCUCUUCUUCGCCGUCAUAUGGAUGAUAUUGGUUCGUCGAAUGAUGAUUCGUCUGGUGGUUUGUCCUUUAGACGACCAUCUCGAGCUGAGCGUGCUAUUGAUGAUCCUAUAAGAGAGAUGGAAGGCAUGCUUGUUGAUGAGUAUGGCAG
RNAcentral lists this unclassified non-coding RNA (336 nucleotides) under Hevea brasiliensis (rubber tree). The record is from RNAcentral. Lineage: Eukaryota; Viridiplantae; Streptophyta; Magnoliopsida; Malpighiales; Euphorbiaceae.